Molecule: ribosomal RNA, 253 nt
Filed under: uncultured bacterium
Lineage: Bacteria
Description: partial 16S ribosomal RNA
Rfam family: Bacterial small subunit ribosomal RNA
Source: RNAcentral
UACGUAGGGUGCAAGCGUUGUCCGGAAUUAUUGGGCGUAAAGAGCUUGUAGGCGGUUUGUCGCGUCUGCUGUGAAAUUUCGGGGCUCAACCCCGAACUUGCAGUGGGUACGGGCAGACUAGAGUGUGGUAGGGGAGAGUGGAAUUCCUGGUGUAGCGGUGAAAUGCGUAGAUAUCAGGAGGAAUACCGGUGGCGAAAGCGACUCUCUGGACGGCAACUGACGCUGAGGCACGAAAGCGUGGGGAGCAAACAGG